Molecule: long non-coding RNA, 242 nt
Filed under: Nicotiana benthamiana
Lineage: Eukaryota; Viridiplantae; Streptophyta; Magnoliopsida; Solanales; Solanaceae
Description: long non-coding RNA (NBEN_LNC001278)
Source: RNAcentral
CUGCAACUGAUCUAGCUGUUACUUCAAACAAGCUCGAUGUGGUUCAACAUGUCACUGGGGCAUCUGGGAUUCAAAUUGGUAAUGAUCGAGUGAAGUCUAAUGAUCAACCAGCAGCUGAAAUUACAGGUUCUAAAUCCUCUGUUGUAGCUGAUAAGGGGCUGUGGAGUUCUGCUGUAGCUAGAGUUACUCAGGCUGUGGAAUCGACUUUACACGCUACUGAUAUAAGUGAUGCAACUGCUGUC